GAGAUCGGUGUAAACGUCGCGGGUGCGUUU
RNAcentral lists this small RNA (30 nucleotides) under Bombyx mori (domestic silkworm). Its description in RNAcentral is "ovarian small RNA-15726". The record is from RNAcentral. Lineage: Eukaryota; Metazoa; Arthropoda; Insecta; Lepidoptera; Bombycidae.